AUUGAACGCUGGCGGCAGGCCUAACACAUGCAAGUCGAGCGGAUGAAGGGAGCUUGCUCCUGGAUCCAGCGUCGGACGGGUGAGUAAUGCCUAGGAAUCUGCCUGGUAGUGUGGGAUAACGUCUGGAAACGGGUGAUAAUACGGCAUACGUCCUGAUGGAGAAAGUGGGGGAACGUCGGACUGCUCGCUUGUGUAUAAGUCUAGUUCGGAUUAGCUAGUUGGUGGGGUAAAGGCUUACCAAGGUGAGGAUCCGUAACUGGUCUGACAGGAUGAUCAGUCACACUGGAACUGAGACACGGUCCCGACUCCUACAGGAGGCAACGGCGGGGAAUAUUGGACGAUGGGCGAAAGCCUGAUACAGCCCUGUCGCGUGUAUGCAGAAGCUUUUCCGAUUGUAAAGGACAUAAAGUUGGGAGUAAGGGAAGUAAGUUAAUAACUUGAUGUUUUGACGUUACCAACAGAAUAAGCACCGGCUAACUUCGUG
This 484-nucleotide ribosomal RNA is filed under the name uncultured bacterium. Its description in RNAcentral is "partial 16S ribosomal RNA". It matches the Rfam family "Bacterial small subunit ribosomal RNA", at positions 30 to 507 of the family's 1533-position model. The record is from RNAcentral.